RNAcentral lists this ribosomal RNA (253 nucleotides) under uncultured bacterium. RNAcentral's name for it is "partial 16S ribosomal RNA". It matches the Rfam family "Bacterial small subunit ribosomal RNA", at positions 524 to 776 of the family's 1533-position model. The record is from RNAcentral.
UACGAAGGGGGCUAGCGUUGCUCGGAAUCACUGGGCGUAAAGGGUGCGUAGGCGGGUCUCUAAGUCAGGGGUGAAAUCCUGGAGCUCAACUCCAGAACUGCCUUUGAUACUGAGGAUCUUGAGUCCGGGAGAGGUGAGUGGAACUGCGAGUGUAGAGGUGAAAUUCGUAGAUAUUCGCAAGAACACCAGUGGCGAAGGCGGCUCACUGGCCCGGUACUGACGCUGAGGCACGAAAGCGUGGGGAGCAAACAGG